CAGCUAAGAUGAAAGCAAAACAGCUUUAAAACAACUGCACGGACAACAGCUAAAAUAGAGCUGAUUUCCAGCAGUCACUAGCAACACUGUUAUGAUUUUUUUCAAAAAACUGGCAACACGGUUACCGGUUUGAGUGAGAGUGAAAGAGAGCGAGUGAGAACAACAACAAAAUGCCACAAAACUCUCGCUCACUCCACUUACUCGAAAAGCAAACACACCGAAAUCAACAUGGCGAUUAAAAUCGUGCUCUGUAAAAUUGCAGCUGGAAGGUUUUUUUUUCUAUUUUUGACGCACAAAACCACCACUUUGUAGCAUCUAUGGCGUGCAAAGCAUAGGAAAAAGCACCCGUUCUAAGGACUUCCAAAAUAGGGAAUUUUCCAGAUUUUAACGGAGGUCUGUGCUGCUAUGGAUAUUCCGGAUUUUGACAACAAAUUUAGCGAACGGUAUGUACUAGCGGACCUCCAGCUGCCCCGGGGCCAAAAUGGCUAGAAAGCCCACCUCAUUCUGAUAAUUUUGGUGAAAAGAUGUCAACUUGCGUGUGAUUAUGAAAUAAGCUCAAAUAAGAAACAUUUUAACCCAAA
This is a long non-coding RNA of Culex quinquefasciatus (southern house mosquito), 581 nucleotides long. RefSeq lists it as uncharacterized. The record is from RefSeq and is a predicted model, not a curated record. Lineage: Eukaryota; Metazoa; Arthropoda; Insecta; Diptera; Culicidae. The transcript has 2 exons.